RNAcentral lists this ribosomal RNA (503 nucleotides) under uncultured bacterium. RNAcentral describes it as "partial 16S ribosomal RNA". It matches the Rfam family "Bacterial small subunit ribosomal RNA", at positions 30 to 523 of the family's 1533-position model. The record is from RNAcentral.
AUUGAACGCUGGCGGCAGGCUUAACACAUGCAAGUCGAGCGGGGUGAUGGUGCUUGCACUAUCACUUAGCGGCGGACGGGUGAGUAAUGCUUAGGAAUCUGCCUAUUAGUGGGGGACAACAUCUCGAAAGGGAUGCUAAUACCGCAUACGUCCUACGGGAGAAAGCAGGGGAUCACUUGUGACCUUGCGCUAAUAGAUGAGCCUAAGUCGGAUUAGCUAGUUGGUGGGGUAAAGGCCUACCAAGGCGACGAUCUGUAGCGGGUCUGAGAGGAUGAUCCGCCACACUGGGACUGAGACGCGGCCCAGACUCCUACGGGAGGAAGCAGUGGGGAAUAUUGGACAAUGGGGGGAACCCUGAUCCAGCCAUGCCGCGUGUGUGAAGAAGGCCUUAUGGUUGUAAAGCACUUUAAGCGAGGAGGAGGCUCUUUUGGUUAAUACCCAAGAUGAGUGGACGUUACUCGCAGAAUAAGCACCGGCUAACUCUGUGCCAGCAGCCGCCGUAA